UCCUGCACUGCCUGCAUAUACAUAUGAG
This 28-nucleotide small RNA is filed under the name Bombyx mori (domestic silkworm). RNAcentral's name for it is "ovarian small RNA-27918". Lineage: Eukaryota; Metazoa; Arthropoda; Insecta; Lepidoptera; Bombycidae. The record is from RNAcentral.